GUGGUGACCUGGGUUCUAUGUCUAUUCCUGCACUCCAGAACUCAAGAGCCUGGGCAGCACAUUCAUGAGAGGCUGUCUCAUGGAAAGAGCUCAGAGAACUUAAGCGAAGGAAAGAAAGAAAGAAAAAAAAAAGAAGUAAAGUCACUUGCUGAAGAUCCCACAGUGAACUGGAGAGCUAGGGUAUAUACUUGACCUAGGAGUCUCAGUUCCCAGGACUCUUGCAACACUAGCUAUUCAGCCAUUAGCACACAUUGAAAUCACCUACAGGACUGGUGAAAACACAGAUUGCUGGAUCCACCCCCAGAUUUUCUCAUACGAUUCUGAUGCAGUAGACCUAAAACGGGGACCUCAGGUUCUAGAUUUCCAGCAAGAUCCUGGAAAUGUGAUGCCACUACUCUUCAGACCACACUCUUGGAAGGGGACCAACUAUCACGGACUUCACUAGAGUGGAAAUGAGCUGGUGAUGGUCACUGUGGAGAUCACAGAUCUCUUGAGUACAAAGUUUUGAUAAGGGGUUAAUUGAGGAUGCAGAAGUAACAGAACAAAAAUGGAGCUCUCGGGUUGACGUGGCCCCCAAAUGCUCUGAUGAAGCAGAGUGAGGUGAGUCGCAAGCUAUUAACAACCUGCCUUAUUUGGACCAAAUUACUGACGUUCAGCUGCCUCCAGAUUAGCUGAGCCUGCUGUUGGCUCAGCUUCGGUGUAGAGAGCGGGAGAAAUUGUGACAAGAGCCUUGGGACUGCGAGAGGGGCUGCAUGCCUCCCUUCCAGCAAGUUUAGAGGAGGGAGAAGAGGAAGGAGUUCAGGGGUCUGCCUCCAGCUCCCGGGUCUGCAGCAGAUCCACCGUCCACCUGCUCAUUCCUUUCCUCAUCCCCUCAACCACUUGUUUAGCUGUUUACCAGUCAGCAAGUUUCGUGAAACACCCACAGUUUUGCCAGGUUCCAGAAACCAGAGGCAAAAAACACUAAGAAGCCUCAGGAAAGACUGAAACCAAGCCCAUCGGUGACUCAGAGACCUAGACUCACCCAAAUUUGCCUUGCUUUCAGCCAAGGAGAAAGGGAAAAACCUGUUUUAUGUGUUCAUCCUGCGGCCUCCCUUAACCAUUAGGAUUUCAG
Molecule: long non-coding RNA, 1111 nt
Organism: Canis lupus familiaris (dog)
Lineage: Eukaryota; Metazoa; Chordata; Mammalia; Carnivora; Canidae
Exons: 6
Source: RefSeq, a predicted model, not a curated record